This 432-nucleotide ribosomal RNA is filed under the name uncultured bacterium. Its description in RNAcentral is "partial 16S ribosomal RNA". It matches the Rfam family "Bacterial small subunit ribosomal RNA", at positions 338 to 795 of the family's 1533-position model. The record is from RNAcentral.
CCUACGGGAGGCAGCAGUGGGGAAUAUUGGACAAUGGGGGCAACCCUGAUCCAGCCAUGCCGCGUGAGUGAUGAAGGCCUUCGGGUUGUAAAGCUCUUUUGGCGGGGACGACGUACCCGCAGAAUAAGCCCCGGCUAACUUCGUGCCAGCAGCCGCGGUAAGACGAAGGGGGCUAGCGUUGUUCGGAAUUACUGGGCGUAAAGCGCGUGUAGGCGGUUUGCCAAGUCAGGUGUGAAAGCCUUGGGCUUAACCCAAGAAAUGCACUUGGUACUGGCAGACUAGAGGACCGGAGAGGAUAGUGGAAUUCCCAGUGUAGUGGUGAAAUACGUAGAGAUUGGGAAGAACACCAGUGGCGAAGGCGGCUAUCUGGACGGUUCUGACGCUAAGACGCGAAAGCGUGGGGAGCAAACAGGAUUAGAUACCCUUGUAGUC